UGGAGAUUUUGUAAAAGAUUACUUAGAUUUAUGAAAAAUGGUUAAAGAUUGGACUAUAAAGGGCAAUAACUCCUAAAGGGGUCAACUGACCAUUUUUGGUCAUGUUGACUUAUUUGUAGAUCUUACUUUGCUGAACAUUAUUGCUGUUUACAGUUUAUCUCUAUCUAUAAUAAUAUUCAAGAUAAUAACCAAAAACGGCAAAAUUUCCUCAAAAUUACCAAUUCAGGGGCAGCAACCCAACAACAGGUUGACCGAUUCAUCUGAAAAUUUCAGGGCAGAUAGAUCUUGACCUGAUAAACAUUUUUACCCCCAUCAGAUUUCCUCUAAAUGCUUUGGUUUUUGAGUUAUAAGCCAAAAACUGCAUUUUACCCCUAUGUUCUAUUUUUAGCCGUGGCGGCCAUCUUGUUGGUUGACCGGGUCACGCCACACAUUUUUUAAACUAGAUACCCUAAAGAUGAUUGUGGCCAAGUUUGGAUUAAUUUGGCCCAGUAGUUUCAGAGGAGAAGAUUUUUGUAAAAGAUUACUUAGAUUUAUGAAAAAUGGUUAAAAAUUGACUAUAAAGGGCAAUAACUCCUAAAGGGGUCAACUGACCAUUUCGGUCAUGUUGACUUAUUUGUAAAUCUAACUUUGCUGAACAUUAUUGCUGUUUACAGUUUAUCUCUAUCUAUAAUAAUAUUCAAGAUAAUAACCAAAAACAGCAAAAUUU
Molecule: long non-coding RNA, 706 nt
Filed under: Mytilus galloprovincialis (Mediterranean mussel)
Lineage: Eukaryota; Metazoa; Mollusca; Bivalvia; Mytilida; Mytilidae
Source: RNAcentral